AGGGAACAUAUUUAGGCCAUUCAGUCCCUCCAGUUUACUCUGCUAUUUAAUAGCUGAUGCCAUUGCUGAUGUGACUGUAAUCUCAAUUCUGCAUUCUUCUUU
Molecule: long non-coding RNA, 102 nt
Organism: Amblyraja radiata (thorny skate)
Lineage: Eukaryota; Metazoa; Chordata; Chondrichthyes; Rajiformes; Rajidae
Exons: 3
Source: RefSeq, a predicted model, not a curated record